UACGGGGGGUGCAAGCGUUACUCGGAAUCAUUGGGCGUAAAGGGCGCGUAGGCGGCCAGGCAAGUCAGGUGUGAAAGCCCGGGGCUCAACCUCGGAAGUGCAUUUGAUACUGCUUGGCUUGAGUAUGGGAGAGGGAAGUGGAAUUCCUGGUGUAGAGGUGAAAUUCGUAGAUAUCAGGAGGAACACCGGUGGCGAAGGCGACUUCCUGGACCAAUACUGACGCUGAGGCG
This 230-nucleotide ribosomal RNA is filed under the name uncultured microorganism. Its description in RNAcentral is "partial 16S ribosomal RNA". It matches the Rfam family "Bacterial small subunit ribosomal RNA", at positions 524 to 753 of the family's 1533-position model. The record is from RNAcentral.